UCCUACGGGGCGCAGCAGUGGGGAAUAUUGCACAAUGGGGGAAACCCUGAUGCAGCGACGCCGCGUGAGUGAGGAAGUAUUUCGGUAUGUAAAGCUCUAUCAGCAGGGAAGAAAAAAUGACGGUACCUGACUAAGAAGCACCGGCUAAAUACGUGCCAGCAGCCGCGGUAAUACGUAGGGGGCAAGCGUUAUCCGGAUUUACUGGGUGUAAAGGGUGCGUAGACGGGAAUGCAAGUUGGUUGUGAAAUCCCUCGGCUUAACUGAGGAACUGCAACCAAAACUACAUUUCUUGAGUGCUGGAGAGG
This 305-nucleotide ribosomal RNA is filed under the name uncultured bacterium. Its description in RNAcentral is "bacterial SSU rRNA". It matches the Rfam family "Bacterial small subunit ribosomal RNA", at positions 337 to 657 of the family's 1533-position model. The record is from RNAcentral.